This 463-nucleotide ribosomal RNA is filed under the name uncultured bacterium. RNAcentral describes it as "partial 16S ribosomal RNA". It matches the Rfam family "Bacterial small subunit ribosomal RNA", at positions 28 to 507 of the family's 1533-position model. The record is from RNAcentral.
GAUGAACGCUGACAGAAUGCUUAACACAUGCCAGUCUUUGGCGAAGCUGUGCUUGCACAGCCUAGCCAAGGCGGACGGGUGAGUAACGCGUAAGGAACUUGCCCUGCAGUCAGGGAUAACAGACGGAAACGACUGAUAAGACCUGGUAAAGUCAGGCGGACUCAUGUCCAGCCUGAUGAAAAGUGAUGCUGCAGGAGAGCCUUGCGUCCUAUUAGCUUGUUGGUGGGGUAACGGCCCACCAAGGCGAUGAUAGGUAGCCGGCCUGAGAGGGUGGACGGCCACAAGGGGACGGAGAUACGGCCCUUACUCCUACGGGAGGCAGCAGUGGGGAAUAUUGGACAAUGGGGGCAACCCUGAUCCAGCAAUUCUGUGUGCACGAUGAAGGUUUUCGGAGUGUAAAGUGCUUUCAGCAGGGAAGAAAAAAAUGACGGUACCUGCAGAAGAAGCGACGGCUAAAUACGUG